Molecule: long non-coding RNA, 219 nt
Filed under: Eucalyptus grandis
Lineage: Eukaryota; Viridiplantae; Streptophyta; Magnoliopsida; Myrtales; Myrtaceae
Description: long non-coding RNA (EGRA_LNC002649)
Source: RNAcentral
AGUUGGCGCGGGGAACGGGAGCCGCGGGCUCAAAAGUGCGGCUGCGAGUCAAGCGUGGCCGGACUGUCGGAGGGCUGCUCGCUCUAAAACUCUCUCCUUCAGCUGUUCUUAUGGUCUCUUCACCUCCUCCGAAUCUCUCCGGUGCUCUCUGUCUCUCCUCUCUCUCUCUCUCAAGCUCCCUCUCCGUUCUAUUCCUUCCUCCCCUUGUGGAGUUCUCCC